RNAcentral lists this ribosomal RNA (500 nucleotides) under uncultured bacterium. Its description in RNAcentral is "bacterial SSU rRNA". It matches the Rfam family "Bacterial small subunit ribosomal RNA", at positions 30 to 504 of the family's 1533-position model. The record is from RNAcentral.
UGAACGCUGGCGGCGUGCUUAACACAUGCAAGUCGAACGAGAACGGGAUUGCUUGCAAUCCUUAGUAGAGUGGCGCACGGGUGAGUAACACGUAGAUAAUCUACCUUCAAAACUGGAAUAACUAUUCGAAAGGGUAGCUAAUACCGGAUAAAGUUUAUGCACAUAGGUGUAUUUAUGAAAGAUUGCCUCUUCUUGAAAGCAAUUGUUUGGAGAUGAGUCUGCGGACCAUUAGCUUGUUGGUGGGGUAAAGGCCUACCAAGGCUGCGAUGGUUAGCUGGUCUGAGAGGAUGAUCAGCCACACUGGAACUGACACACGGUCCAGACUCCUACGGGAGGCAGCAGUGAGGAAUUUUGCGCAAUGGGGGUAACCCUGACGCAGCAACGCCGCGUGAGUGAUGAAGGCCCUUGGGUCGUAAAGCUCUGUCGACAGGGAAGAAAUUAUAAUCAUCCAAUAGGUGUUUAUAUUGACGGUACCUGUAGAGGAAGCACCGGCUAACUCC